AUAUCUCUACAAUUCAACGACAAAAAGACAAACAACCAAAUUAAAAAAUAACACAGAAGGGUAAGGUAAGUCUCCAUUAAACACAGGAAAGAGACUGGAAAACUCCUCUUUGGAUCCUGUCUAUAGUCGCAGGU
Small nucleolar RNA from Chlorocebus sabaeus (green monkey), 134 nucleotides. It matches the Rfam family "Small nucleolar RNA SNORA26". From Rfam's summary of the family: The snoRNA HBI-6 belong to the H/ACA family of snoRNAs, guiding the pseudouridylation of position U4522 if the 28S rRNA. HBI-6 is the human orthologue of mouse MBI-6 snoRNA. The record is from Rfam. NCBI's taxonomy places the organism in Eukaryota, Metazoa, Chordata, Mammalia, Primates, Cercopithecidae.